RNAcentral lists this transfer RNA (77 nucleotides) under Lysobacteraceae bacterium SCN 69-48. Its description in RNAcentral is "Xanthomonadaceae bacterium SCN 69-48 tRNA-Pro". The stretch from base 4 to 66 matches the Rfam family "tRNA", at positions 6 to 65 of the family's 71-position model. Rfam says of the family: Transfer RNA (tRNA) molecules are approximately 80 nucleotides in length. The record is from RNAcentral. Lineage: Bacteria; Pseudomonadati; Pseudomonadota; Gammaproteobacteria; Lysobacterales; Lysobacteraceae.
GGGUGUAGCUCAGUCUGGUAGAGCGCUACGUUCGGGACGUAGAGGUCGCAGGUUCGAAUCCUGGCGUGAAACCGCCG